UGGGGGAUAUUGCACAAUGGGCGAAAGCCUGAUGCAGCGACGCCGCGUGGGGGAUGAAGGCCUUCGGGUUGUAAACUUCUUUUGCUCUGAACAAGGCAUGCCUUUGGGGUGUGUUGAGUGUAGGGGUUGAUUAGCGCCGGCUAACUACGUGCCAGCAGCCGCGGUAAUACGUAGGGCGCGAGCGUUGUCCGGAAUUAUUGGGCGUAAAGGGCUUGUAGGUGGCUGGUUGCGUCUGUCGUGAAAGCUCAUGGCUUAACUGUGGGUUUGCGGUGGGUACGGGCUGGCUUGAGUGCAGUAGGGGAGGCUGGAAUUCCUGGUGUAGCGGUGGAAUGCGCAGAUAUCAGGAGGAAUACCGGUGGCGAAGGCGGGUCUCUGGGCUGUUACUGACGCUGAGGAGCGGAAGCGUGGGGAGCGAACAGG
This 420-nucleotide ribosomal RNA is filed under the name Fusobacteriota bacterium. Its description in RNAcentral is "Fusobacteria bacterium partial 16S ribosomal RNA". It matches the Rfam family "Bacterial small subunit ribosomal RNA", at positions 355 to 776 of the family's 1533-position model. The record is from RNAcentral. Lineage: Bacteria; Fusobacteriati; Fusobacteriota.